RNAcentral lists this ribosomal RNA (516 nucleotides) under Euchomenella sp. MN091. RNAcentral's name for it is "partial 16S ribosomal RNA". It matches the Rfam family "Bacterial large subunit ribosomal RNA", at positions 1832 to 2600 of the family's 2925-position model. Lineage: Eukaryota; Metazoa; Arthropoda; Insecta; Mantodea; Mantidae. The record is from RNAcentral.
GGUUUCUUGAUUAUUUAAGAAAUUUAACCUGCCCACUGAUUGAUAAAUUUGAAGGGCCGCGGUAUUUUGACUGUGCAAAGGUAGCAUAAUCAUUAGUCUUUUAAUUGAAGGCUUGUAUGAAUGGUUGAACGAGAUAAAAUCUGUUUUAUUUUAAUUUAAUUGAAUUUAGAUUUUAAGUUAAAAGACUUAAAUGAGAUUGAGGGACGAGAAGACCCUAUAGAGUUUAAUAUAUUAUGUAAUUAAUUGAGUUAAUACUCAAUUUUCGAUUAUUUAUAUAAUAUAUUUAGUUGGGGUGAUAGGAAGAUAAAUUUAACUCUUUUUUAAUUUUAAUAUUGUAGGCAGUGUUACAUGAUCCAUAUUUAAUGAUUAAAAGAUUAAAUUACCUUAGGGAUAACAGCAUAAUUUUUUUUGAGAGUUCUUAUUGAAAAAGAAGAUUGUGACCUCGAUGUUGGAUUAAGAUUAAUUUUGGAUGUAGAUGUUCAGAAAUUAGGUCUGUUCGACCUUUAAAAUCUUACA